Molecule: ribosomal RNA, 497 nt
Filed under: uncultured bacterium
Lineage: Bacteria
Description: partial 16S ribosomal RNA
Rfam family: Bacterial small subunit ribosomal RNA
Source: RNAcentral
GAUGAACGCUGGCGGCGUGCCUAAUACAUGCAAGUCGAGCGAACGGACGAGAAGCUUGCUUCUCUGAUGUUAGCGGCGGACGGGUGAGUAACACGUGGAUAACCUACCUAUAAGACUGGGAUAACUUCGGGAAACCGUAGCUAAUACCGGAUAAUAUAUUGAACCGCAUGGUUCAAAAGUGAAAGACGGUCUUGCUGUCACUUAUAGAUGGAUCCGCGCUGCAUUAGCUAGUUGGUAAGGUAACGGCUUACCAAGGCAACGAUGCAUAGCCGACCUGAGAGGGUGAUCGGCCACACUGGAACUGAGACACGGUCCAGACUCCUACGGGAGGCAGCAGUAGGGAAUCUUCCGCAAUGGGCGAAAGCCUGACGGAGCAACGCCGCGUGAGUGAUGAAGGUCUUCGGAUCGUAAAACUCUGUUAUUAUGGAAGAACAUAUGUGUAAGUAACUGUGCACAUCUUGACGGUACCUAAUCAGAAAGCCACGGCUAACUACGUG